Long non-coding RNA from Numida meleagris (helmeted guineafowl), 1381 nucleotides. NCBI's taxonomy places the organism in Eukaryota, Metazoa, Chordata, Aves, Galliformes, Numididae. The record is from Ensembl.
AUGUCCUCAACAAAUUGUGCAAGCUCAUUAGGGGAUCUUUUACUUUUUAUACCUGGAGACAUAUCACACAACCUGAGAACAUGUGCUCCAGUUCACCGACAGAUUUCCCUUGCACGGUCCCGCUGGAACAUUGGCACUCAUGCCGUCUAUAAACAGACAGUCCAGGUUUGUGUCUGUCAGAGCUGUACUCCAUUUUAUUUACCGCACAGUCUUUGGGGGUGGGAAGAAGGGGAAUUAAUCAGAAGAAGCAUGCAGUUCUCCCUCCCUCCUGCUCUUUAUUUAUUUAUUUUUGUACUUGAAAGCUUUCCGAGCUCUUUAUUAUUCCCAGAGUUCAUUUUUCUUCUUCUUUUUUGCUUUUUUUUUUUUUUUUUUUUUUUCUGAAAGCAGCUGAUCUCAGCAGGUGAGGGACAGGACAUGAGGCAGUUCAGAAGGCCAGGAGGAUGAGGAGCCCUUGGGAUUCCCCUGACUGCUGGGCUGGAGCGAGCAGGGUGUGGGGGAUCCCAGGGUGUGGGGCACUGAGCCAUCUUCUCACCCAGCCAUCUGCUAACUGUGCUGGCACUCUGGUGGGCUGGUUGCUGAUGGGAAAAGGCAUAAGACAUGGACUUGUAGGGUGGUGGGGGGAAACCUGCCCUCGUAUGUAUCCACAUGAGGUGUGUGUAUUUGUAAUUGGCUGCCUUCUGUUUGGCAGAUAUUGUGAGGACAGAAAUCACAGUGUAUGUGAUAUGCCAUAUCUCUAUGGGAUCCUUCAUCUGCACUAGUUCGUAGGUAAGAAAAAGCCCUACCUGCAGGAAUCCCUUAGCAAGAAAGUAUUGAUCGUACUUGUUAAAUGUAGAAUCAUGGAAUGGUUUUGGCUUGGAAGGGACCUUAAAGCCCAUCCAGCCCCAACCCCACUGCUGUGGGCGGGGCUGCCCCCCACCAGCUCAGGCUACCCAGGGCCCCAUCCAACCUGGCCUUGAAUGCCUUCAGGGAUGGGGCACCCACAUCUUCUCUGGAAAGCCUGUGCCAGGGCCUCACCGCCCUCUGAGUAAGGAAUGUCCUCCUAACAUCUAACCUCGUCUCUUUACCAUCUCCCCUCUUUUAGUUUAAAACCAUUUAGGCAGAAGUCUGGUCCUUCAGUCCACGUGAGACCAGUUGCUGGCUGAGCAAUGUAACUACUAGGCCAAACCAGCUCCUAAAAAAGUGCACCCCACAACCUCUCCCGGGGUGAGUGAGCUAUCAUGCGCAGCUUGUUGCAACCAGCACAGAAUAACGUGCUGCACGGCAGAAGAUCGCUCCCAGAAUGGGCACGGAGCUACCUGCAGAAAGCCUUCAAUAACCCCUUGCACAAAGGGCAGCUCAGAGCCCGUCAGGUGCAGACGCUGAGCUGGGGAAGCGAACCCCC